GAUAUCCAAAUAAUAUUCAAGUUGAUGUUUAUAUUUACUUUACAAUAAUUAAUUAAUGUUUUUCCUUUUCAUUAGUGGUACUUUUAUAGAUAUUUUGUUAUGACUGCCCAAAUUCCUCUUAUUCAACAUUAUGUACAGUUCUUGUUUGGACUAAAGUUGCAAAUCACUUUUGAAAGCAUGGGGCUACCAGCCAGAAGACAUAUGCAGCUGUGGAGCAGUACAGACAAUGUCCCUGUGGUGAUCACAGUUGGCUGCUGUGUGUGUUCCUCCUCCUCCUUCUGCCACUCCCCCUGUCUGUCUCACUUCACACCUGGCCCUGAUCUGCAAUUACGCUCACCUGGUCUUCACCUCCAAUCAACUCCCCUUCAUAACCCUUGGAUUCCCUGCAGUCGGUGCACGAUCGUACUACUCUCUACUGUGUAUCUAACCGUAACAGUUCCACCUACUCGGUGUGAUCACGCCCCCCAGUGCAGCCCCCAGGACCUGGCUGAACCCCAUCAGCUGUGACCUGCGCCAGAUACUGGCAGAACGACAUCUGAGAUUGCAACGGACUCGAAGAACUACACUUGCAUGCAGGAAAUCUCAUCUGUUUAUGGGAUAUAAACCUGAGACCGGUAACACUAGGAAAAGAGGGCAUGGACGACCGAGAGAGAGGCAGCAAAGGAGUGAGAGCUGUAUUACAUAUAGACUCCAGAGCGGAGGUGGAACACAUUGUUUUUGUAUAUUUGUUCUCGCGGCGUUUGGCUUCAUCAUGGGUACCUGAGAUGGAGGGAGAGAGGGAGAGAGAGAGGGAGGGAGGGAGGAACAACUGCUGUGCCACCGUUCUGAAACUGCACCACUGACCAACUGCGCCCUGCCUCGCUAUCCAUUUUGGCCUUGGAUGCAAAUCAAAGUCUUAAUUUUUAAUGGUAGUAGUCCCCCCCGUCUAUUUUGACUGUAGCUACAUGGGCUUUUGUUCUCAGGAAGGGUGGGGUGAAAUAAGCUUAAAAUGGUCAGCAGAGCUGACAGGGCAACCAGGGAAACGGAAUAUGUAGUAGCCCAAUAUUUUAAACUCCUUGUGAGCAAGCCUUCGUUUGGUCCGUCCCCACAUUCACUUUUGUCAGUCCCAAUGUCGUUGUCAGAGUCGUCCCCACAUUCACUUUUGUCAGUCCCCAUGUCGUUGUCAUUCGAGUCCAGAAUUUUUACUGGCCCCUAUGCAUUUUUCUUUUUUAUUAGUUGUCAAUUUUUUUUUUUUUUAAAUGUUCCUCUGUUUAUUAAAGUUAUCUCAAAACAAACUUCCAUGGAGGGCUCUGAAAACAAAGAGCAAACGUAGAGGACGCCUGGCUCUAGCUCAACUACACCGGGCAAUGUAGCAGUGGUGUUGUUAUGACCUUGUUUCCCUUUUCGAAUAGAUGGCAUUUUCGUUUUAUGUGGCAAAGCUUACUCACCCCUAAGGCGUCAUUCAGUCCACUGACUAUAUACGUUCCAAUGUACGAUGAAUCACAGGGAUAAGUGAAGUAAGGCUCUUUUUUUUGGAAUGUUCUGUAAAUGAUGUAGACAUUUUCCUCUGAUUUAAUGACAUUUGCAACUAAAGCAAAGCCAUCUCCCACCAUAAUGCAAUUGUCCCCCUUCUUCGUUGACAAGGUAAAUUGAUCUGUCGAAACCUUCCUGUAUUGUGUGUCUUUAAUGAACUGUGGGGGAACAGGGCCAUCAGUAUGCAUGUGUUGCAAUAUCGGGUCACUGCUUGGAUUUUGUGUCCUUCCAGGUGGCAUUUCAGACAGCCUUUUCACUACCUGCUGUAGAGGCUGAUGUGGCUUGCGUAGAAGAUGUUUUAUUUGCCCCAGACAGUUUUCAUAGGGGAAAGCUGAUAUGUUGUCUAGGGGCCCAAACUUUUUGUAUUCCUCUGCCAAAUGGAUUAAUUGAUGCACAUUAUAAACAAUCUCCUCCCUACCAUACAACUGUCCAUAAUAGUCAACAAAAGAAACCAUCAGCUUCUCUGCAAAGGCCAACAUCUUAACACAAACACCAGGGGACAGCAACAGGUACAUACCAACAGAAAACAACAUAAAAUGAUCAUAAAUCUCACUAGGAAGAGAAUCCUUCAAAACAAUAGGACCCCAAUACAACAUGAAGGAUCUAAGCUCGGUUGCUUUCCAACGAUCGAUUUCGGACAGUUCCCUUGGCUUGCGGUUAAAUUCACAUGGCGUGAGCACAUUAAUCAUUAGCAACUGCUUGGAAAUUGUAGCAACCGUUUGUGAGGGAAGCCUUGUUGCCUUAUUUUUGCCCUUUAACCAGAUAUUAAGUAGCUUCCUUGUUACCCCCAGACAACAAAGAUGCAUAUAAUCAAUAGGGAACAUGGAAACCAUUUGAACCACCCCAGCUAAAGGUGAGCUCCCAAGGUGAUGUUCCUCAUCAAUCAUAUCAGUGAAGCUUGAGUCAGUCCUUAGUCUCACAAUGGUCUCAGGAUAUGUCAUUUUGUUUUUCCACACACCCUCCUGAAAACAUUUGUCACACCCGGAAUAGCCGUUGAAUGCCUUUGUCUGCUUAAUGUAAGCUCUUGCGGGAGCAUCACAAAUAAAAGAGGAAACCAAAACCUUAAA
Molecule: long non-coding RNA, 2579 nt
Organism: Gadus morhua (Atlantic cod)
Lineage: Eukaryota; Metazoa; Chordata; Actinopteri; Gadiformes; Gadidae
Exons: 5
Source: RefSeq, a predicted model, not a curated record